Molecule: ribosomal RNA, 460 nt
Filed under: uncultured bacterium
Lineage: Bacteria
Description: partial 16S ribosomal RNA
Rfam family: Bacterial small subunit ribosomal RNA
Source: RNAcentral
CCUACGGGGGGCAGCAGUGAGGAAUAUUGGUCAAUGGACGAGAGUCUGAACCAGCCAAGUAGCGUGAAGGAUGACUGCCCUAUGGGUUGUAAACUUCUUUUAUGUGGGAAUAAAAUGUUCCACGUGUGGGAUUUUGUAUGUACCAUAUGAAUAAGGAUCGGCUAACUCCGUGCCAGCAGCCGCGGUAAUACGGAGGAUCCGAGCGUUAUCCGGAUUUAUUGGGUUUAAAGGGAGCGUAGGUGGAUUGUUAAGUCAGUUGUGAAAGUUUGCGGCUCAACCGUAAAAUUGCAGUUGAAACUGGCAGUCUUGAGUACAGUAGAGGUGAGCGGAAUUCGUGGUGUAGCGGUGAAAUGCUUAGAUAUCACGAAGAACUCCGAUUGCGAAGGCAGUUCACUGGACUGCAACUGACACUGAGGCUCGAAAGUGUGGGUAUCAAACAGGAUUAGAUACCCCAGUAGUC